RNAcentral lists this ribosomal RNA (490 nucleotides) under uncultured bacterium. RNAcentral describes it as "partial 16S ribosomal RNA". It matches the Rfam family "Bacterial small subunit ribosomal RNA", at positions 30 to 507 of the family's 1533-position model. The record is from RNAcentral.
AUUGAACGCUGGCGGCAGGCCUAACACAUGCAAGUCGAACGGUAACAGGAAGCAGCUUGCUGCUUUGCUGACGAGUGGCGGACGGGUGAGUAAUGUCUGGGAAACUGCCUGAUGGAGGGGGAUAACUACUGGAAACGGUAGCUAAUACCGCAUAACGUCGCAAGACCAAAGAGGGGGACCUUCGGGCCUCUUGCCAUCGGAUGUGCCCAGAUGGGAUUAGCUUGUUGGUGGGGUAACGGCUCACCAAGGCGACGAUCCCUAGCUGGUCUGAGAGGAUGACCAGCCACACUGGAACUGAGACACGGUCCAGACUCCUACGGGAGGCAGCAGUGGGGAAUAUUGCACAAUGGGCGCAAGCCUGAUGCAGCCAUGCCGCGUGUAUGAAGAAGGCCUUCGGGUUGUAAAGUACUUUCAUCGGGGAGGAAGGGAGUAAAGUUAAUACCUUUACUCAUUGACGUUACCCGCAGAAGAAGCACCGGCUAACUCCGUA